AGGACGAACGCUGGCGGCGUGCCUAAAACAUGCAAGUCGAACGAGGUCCAUCCAGUGGCAACACUGGGGAAGACCUAGUGGCGAACGGGUGAGUAACACGUGAGGAACCUGCCCCGAAGACCGGGAUAACCCUCCGAAAGGAGAGCUAAUACCGGAUACCCCCAUCCGAAUCGCAUGGUUUGGUGAGGAAAUGGAUUCCGCUUCGGGAGGGCCUCGCGGCCUAUCAGCUUGUUGGUGGGGUAAUGGCCUACCAAGGCAUCGACGGGUAGCUGGUCUGAGAGGACGAUCAGCCACACUGGGACUGAGACACGGCCCAGACUCUACGGGAGCAGCAGUUAGGAAUCUUGCGCAAUGGGCGAAAGCCUGACGCAGCAACGCCGCGUGGGGACGAAAGGGCUCUCGGGUUGUAAAACCCCUUUCAGUGGGACGAAUCAAGAGGUACCCACAGAAGAAGCCCGCCAACACGUGCCAGCAGCCGC
This 479-nucleotide ribosomal RNA is filed under the name uncultured soil bacterium. Its description in RNAcentral is "bacterial SSU rRNA". It matches the Rfam family "Bacterial small subunit ribosomal RNA", at positions 26 to 518 of the family's 1533-position model. The record is from RNAcentral.